RNAcentral lists this ribosomal RNA (429 nucleotides) under Chloroflexota bacterium. RNAcentral describes it as "Chloroflexi bacterium partial 16S ribosomal RNA". It matches the Rfam family "Bacterial small subunit ribosomal RNA", at positions 355 to 776 of the family's 1533-position model. The record is from RNAcentral. Lineage: Bacteria; Bacillati; Chloroflexota.
UGGUGAUUAUUGCACAAUGGGCGCAAGCCUGAUGCAGCCAUGCCGCGUGUAUGAAGAAGUCCUUCGGGUUGUAAAGUACUUUCAGCGGGGAGGAAGGGAGUAAAGUUAAUACCUCUGCUCAUUGACGUUACCCGCAGAAGAAGCACCGGCUAACUCCGUGCCAGCAGCCGCGGUAAUACGGAGGGUGCAAGCGUUAAUCGGAAUUACUGGGCGUAAAGCGCACGCAGGCGGUUUGUUAAGUCAGAUGUGAAAUCCCCGGGCUCAACCUGGGAACUGCAUCUGAUACUGGCAAGCUAGAGUCUCGUAGAGGGGGGUAGAAUUCCAGGUGUAGCGGUGAAAUGCGUAGAGAUCUAGUCGAAUACCGGUGGCGAAGGCGGCCCCCUGAACGAAGACUGACGCUCAGGUGCGAAAGCGUGGGGAGCAAACAGG